Molecule: ribosomal RNA, 497 nt
Filed under: uncultured bacterium
Lineage: Bacteria
Description: partial 16S ribosomal RNA
Rfam family: Bacterial small subunit ribosomal RNA
Source: RNAcentral
GAUGAACGCUGGCGGCGUGCCUAAUACAUGCAAGUCGAGCGAACGGACGAGAAGCUUGCUUUUCUGAUGUUAGCGGCGGACGGGUGAGUAACACGUGGAUAACCUACCUAUAAGACUGGGAUAACUUCGGGAAACCGGAGCUAAUACCGGAUAAUAUUUUGAACCGCAUGGUUCAAAAGUGAAAGACGGUCUUGCUGUCACUUAUAGAUGGAUCCGCGCUGCAUUAGCUAGUUGGUAAGGUAACGGCUUACCGAGGCAACGAUGCAUAGCCGACCUGAGAGGGUGAUCGGCCACACUGGAACGGAGACACGGUCAAGACUCCUACGGGAGGCAGCAGUAGGGAAUCUUCCGCAAUGGGCGAAAGCCUGACGGAGCAACGCCGCGUGAGUGAUGAAGGUCUUCGGAUCGUAAAACUCUGUUAUUAGGGAAGAACAUAUGUGUAAGUAACUGUGCACAUCUUGACGGUACCUAAUCAGAAAGCCACGGCUAACUACGUG